Homo sapiens (human) is the source of this 282-nucleotide long non-coding RNA. RefSeq lists it as uncharacterized. NCBI's taxonomy places the organism in Eukaryota, Metazoa, Chordata, Mammalia, Primates, Hominidae. The transcript is spliced from 3 exons. The record is from RefSeq and is a predicted model, not a curated record.
CUUCACCCCUGAAAACAACAUGGAUGAUGAGUGCAGACUGCAAAACAGCUCACUGGCAAUUGCUCUCAAUUCACUCAAACCCUGCGAAGACUGAUGCCUUGUCAUGAAGACAUAAGGAUCUGAAAUAAAGUGGCACUUUGGAGCUAACCAUGGGUCUUUCUCAUCAUUCUCAUUUCAUGCUGAGCAGCUUCUGGCCUAUUAAAAGCAGAUGAGAAGUUCACCAGUGCUCUAUCAUCUUCUUGGUGACCUACUGGCACCAACUACAGCAGAUCCACUGUGCAU